CCGAGUUAUACAACUCCCAAACCCCCUGUGAACCUUACCACACGCGUUGCCUCGGCGGGACCGCCCCGGCGCCCUCGCGGCCCGGACCAAGGCGCCCGCCGGAGGACCACCAGACUCUCGUCGCAGUGGCAUUUCCCUCCGAGUCAAAACAAGCAAAAUGAAUCA
This 165-nucleotide unclassified non-coding RNA is filed under the name uncultured Ophiocordyceps. RNAcentral describes it as "sequence contains ITS1". Lineage: Eukaryota; Fungi; Ascomycota; Sordariomycetes; Hypocreales; Ophiocordycipitaceae. The record is from RNAcentral.